AUUGAACGCUGGCGGCAUGCUUUACACAUGCAAGUCGAACGGCAGCGCGGGCUUCGGCCUGGCGGCGAGUGGCGAACGGGUGAGUAAUGCAUCGGAACGUGCCCAGUAGUGGGGGAUAGCCCGGCGAAAGCCGGACUAAUACCGCAUACGACCUUAGGGUGAAAGCGGGGGAUCGAAAGGCCUCGCGCUAUUGGAGCGGCCGAUGACGGAUUAGCUAGUUGGUGGGGUAAAGGCUUACCAAGGCGACGAUCCGUAGCUGGUCUGAGAGGACGACCAGCCACACUGGGACUGAGACACGGCCCAGACUCCUACGGGAGGCAGCAGUGGGGAAUUUUGGACAAAGGGGGCAACCCUGAUCCAGCCAUGCCGCGUGCGGGAAGAAGGCCUUCGGGUUGUAAACCGCUUUUGUUAGGGAAGAAAUCCUCUGGGCUAAUACCCCGGGGGGAUGACGGUACCGGAAGAAUAAGCACCGGCUAACUACGUG
Molecule: ribosomal RNA, 484 nt
Filed under: uncultured bacterium
Lineage: Bacteria
Description: partial 16S ribosomal RNA
Rfam family: Bacterial small subunit ribosomal RNA
Source: RNAcentral